GGGCACAUGGCGCAGUUGGUAGCGCGCUUGCUUUGCAUGUAAGAGGUCAUCGGUUCGACUCCGGUUGUGUCCA
Molecule: transfer RNA, 73 nt
Organism: Lachancea fermentati
Lineage: Eukaryota; Fungi; Ascomycota; Saccharomycetes; Saccharomycetales; Saccharomycetaceae
Rfam family: tRNA
About the family: Transfer RNA (tRNA) molecules are approximately 80 nucleotides in length.
Source: Rfam